GUGGGGAAUCUUGCGCAAUGGGCGAAAGCCUGACGCAGCCAUGCCGCGUGGAUGAUGAAGGUCUUAGGAUUGUAAAAUCCUUUCACCGGUGAAGAUAAUGACUGUAGCCGGAGAAGAAGCCCCGGCUAACUUCGUGCCAGCAGCCGCGGUAAUACGAAGGGGGCUAGCGUUGCUCGGAUUUACUGGGCGUAAAGGGCGCGUAGGCGGACAUUUAAGUCAGGGGUGAAAUCCCGGGGCUCAACCUCGGAACUGCCUUUGAUACUGGGUGUCUUGAGUAUGAGAGAGGUGUGUGGAACUCCGAGUGUAGAGGUGAAAUUCGUAGAUAUUCGGAAGAACACCAGUGGCGAAGGCGACACACUGGCUCAUUACUGACGCUGAGGCGCGAAAGCGUGGGGAGCAAACAGGAUUAGAAACCCGUGUAGUCC
RNAcentral lists this ribosomal RNA (425 nucleotides) under uncultured bacterium. Its description in RNAcentral is "partial 16S ribosomal RNA". It matches the Rfam family "Bacterial small subunit ribosomal RNA", at positions 354 to 796 of the family's 1533-position model. The record is from RNAcentral.